RNAcentral lists this ribosomal RNA (433 nucleotides) under uncultured bacterium. Its description in RNAcentral is "partial 16S ribosomal RNA". It matches the Rfam family "Bacterial small subunit ribosomal RNA", at positions 29 to 507 of the family's 1533-position model. The record is from RNAcentral.
AACGAACGCUGGCGGCAUGCCUAACACAUGCAAGUCGAACGAGACCUUCGGGUCUAGUGGCGCACGGGUGCGUAACGCGUGGGAACCUGCCCUUAGGUUCGGAAUAACUCCCCGAAAGGGGUGCUAAUACCGGAUAAUGUCUUCGGACCAAAGAUUUAUCGCCUUUGGAUGGGCCCGCGUUGGAUUAGCUAGUUGGUAGGGUAAAAGCCUACCAAGGCGACGAUCCAUAGCUGGUCUGAGAGGAUGAUCAGCCACACUGGGACUGAGACACGGCCCAGACUCCUACGGGAGGAAGCAGUGGGGAAUAUUGGACAAUGGGCGAAAGCCUGAUCCAGCAAUGCCGCGUGAGUGAUGAAGGCCUUAGGGUUGUAAAGCUCUUUUACCCGGGAUGAUAAUGACAGUACCGGGAGAAUAAGCCCCGGCUAACUCCGUG